Long non-coding RNA from Harpia harpyja (harpy eagle), 976 nucleotides. RefSeq lists it as uncharacterized. The transcript has 3 exons. Lineage: Eukaryota; Metazoa; Chordata; Aves; Accipitriformes; Accipitridae. The record is from RefSeq and is a predicted model, not a curated record.
UCACCGUUGGCUGGGUGUGACAAACACGUUCAUUUUUUGCCUCCUCUUUUCCCAGUGUCACCUUCUGCGUCACGUGAAGAAAAUCCUGCAUGGUUUAUUCCGCUUGCUGCUCAGGUCAUCGCACGUAUAGGGCUGGGGGAGCGGGAAGAAACAUUUUGCGAGUUCGGGGGCACUACAGAUACUCCACAUCAAACCCACAGAAAAGGCAAAUUUGCUGCUAGUGCAGAAAAGGUGACGAAAAACUGCAGUUAACAGAGCGUGCCCUGUUCUGAAUUGGUCCCUUGAUAUGUUUUUGUUUCAGGUGAAAGAAUGAAUUUCCAUCUAUGAUAAAUUCAGAGCUGCCUGUUAGCUUCUUUAGGGUCAAGUGUUUAUCUUCUCUUUGUUCAUACUGAUUUUAUGGCUGGAUGUCAGCUGGCACCGUUUCACCAUGGUUGCCCUUUCUUCUGUCAUGACAGAUGGAAAGAAUCCAUAGUGGUCUGCAAGUACAAGGCUUUCCCAAGAAGCAUUAGCAGCCUUGUAACUAGUGACAGUGAGUCCUGAGGUAUUUUUGGUGAGUUACUGCUUCAGUGUCUUUUUUUCCUUAACCUACAGUGUGUAAUUUUGACUUCAGUUGGAAAGAGAUUUUCCAAAAUGGAAGUCUUUCCCACUCAAAGAAAUUUCAUUUUAUGAACUUCCCAUCAGAGUGGAUCUUCAGAGGUGAUCGACUUGACAGUAGAAGUCAUCAGUAAGAAGACUUUUCACUCUCUUUUCUUAAAGAAAAAAAAGUCAAUUUCCUUCCAAAGACCCAAGCACAGCACAUCUUCCUAAAGUUGAUGGCAUCGCUGGUCUUUGGGUUCUCAGUUUUAACAGUCGAGAUAACAUGAAAAUGUGUUGCUCUGCAUGCUUCAGUACAGCUGAAAGCAUUAGCAAAUCUGCCAGUCGUUUUUGGUAGUCUGAGGUAUUGCAGCACUGGGGAUUUUACAAACUGACUUGCAUU